Molecule: ribosomal RNA, 208 nt
Filed under: uncultured bacterium
Lineage: Bacteria
Description: partial 16S ribosomal RNA
Rfam family: Bacterial small subunit ribosomal RNA
Source: RNAcentral
CGCGUAGGCGGCCUUCUAAGUCGAACGUGAAAUCCCCGGGCUCAACCCGGGAACUGCGUCCGAGACUGGAAGGCUCGAAUCCGGGAGAGGGAUGUGGAAUUCCAGGUGUAGCGGUGAAAUGCGUAGAUAUCUGGAGGAACAUCGGUGGCGAAGGCGGCAUCCUGGACCGGUAUUGACGCUGAGGCGCGAAAGCCAGGGGAGCAAACGG